ACAACAUUAAAUAGUAGUGGCAGCUGGGUUCUGUCGUUGGCAACUAAGAGAGUUGUUUUCUUUUCUCACAUUCAUUAAAAUGCACAAGAAGAAAUUUCUAAUGAUGGAGGAGUACUUGCUUCAAAUUCAUACUUCAGUGAAAUAAACAACAACACACAUCAGAAUGGCUAGAGUGUAAUGGCAGGAUCUCAGCUCACCGCAAACUCCACCUCCUGGGUUCAAGCGAUUCUCCUGCUUCAGCCUCCUGAGUAGCUGGGAUUACAGGUAUGUGCCACCAUGCCCCGCAAUUUUGUGUUUUUAGUAGAGACGGGGUUUCUCCAUAUUGGUCAGGCAGGUGUCAAACUCCCGAACUCAGCUGAUCCUCCUGCCUUGGCUUGCCAAAGUGCUGGGAUUACAGGCUUGAGCCACAGCACCUGGCCCUGUUAAAUUCUUAAGUAAGAUACUUAGUUCAUUAAUUUUUUGACUUCAUUAUUUUCCAAUAAGAGCAUUUAUCAUACUUGUUCAUUUAUUACCUGCAUAUACUGGAUGCCACACUCUAUGCUAUGUAAUAUUUUCAUUAUUAUUCAAUUAGAAGUACUUGAAUUUCCUUUACAACUUAUUCUUUGACUCAUGCAUGCUAUUUUAUCUUGUAUUUGAGUUAUUUCUUUUGAAAGAUACUAUUUUCUACAGGUAUUUUUUCAGAUUUAUGUACAUGUUUACUAUUUUAUUUAUUCACGUAUUGCUUCUUAUACUAUGGUUUUGGAAUCAUUUUCCUUCUUAUUUAUGCUCAUUUCUUUAUGGUAGGUCUUUGAGUGACAAACUCUCUCUUUUUGUUUAUCUCUAAACACCAAUAUUUUCCCCUUAUUCUUGAAAAAAUAGUUUGGCAUAUAUCAUUCUGGGUUGAAAAAUGUGAGGGUACUAUUUUCAACUGUCUACUUUCUGUUGUGGUAAAACACCUGCUUUAUGUCUGGUUGUCAUGUUUUUUUGUCAGUGAUUUCUUCUAUAUGCCUAAUUUUUAAAAUGUCCCCUUUCUCUAUCUCCUUUAUACUAUGCAGUUCUAAUAAAGUUUCUAGAUAUGUUUUAUUUUUCCUAUUUUGAACAUGCUAUACUUGCUUCUAGAAAAUUCACAGUCAUUAUUCAUAUAAGUAUUGUAUUCUCUCUAUUCUGUUUUCUUUUUCUUAGAAUGUAGUCCAGUAUUGUUAGAUUUUUUAAAUGUCUUUUAAUUAGUAAUUAUUAGUAUCAUUUAUUAGUAUAUACUGAUAAAUAUUAAUAUAUAUAGUAUAUGAUUUUGUAUCUAUUUUUUUCUUAUAAUUAUAUAUAUAAUUUUAUAAGUUUAAUUGCCCCCAAUCUGCUUAUUCUUCUUAUCUUUUUCUCAAUCUCUUGAUUGCAUUUAUUAUUUUUUAAACUUUUCAAACAUAGUUGUUUUAUGUAUGAUUCAAUGCAUCACAAGUCCUUGAGAUCCUAAAUCUGUUGCAGAUGGUUUCUCCUCAUUCACUCAUUUUUUUUCCUGUAAUUAGUAGUCUUUGAUUGUGAUAUUAAUGCCUGAUCAUAAUCUGUGAUGUCUGAGUCUUAUAUUUUGAGAGCUUUUCUCUAGAUAGGAUUUACUUCUAUGUCUGUAAGAAAUCAGUGCAUGCUGCUGGAAUGGUACUACUGCAGUUGUCCUUCAGUACCUUGGCUCAGCACCAAAGUCUCAGAAAUAAUUCUCCCUCCUAGCUAGUGGCCCCAGACUCUGAUCCUGACAAUAGCGUUCUCAGAGCACUUUGAAAUUUGCUCUCAGAGAAAACUCACUACACCAGAGUGACAGCCAUCUUUCUCCUCCAAGCUCAGAUUUUUUUUUUUUUUUUGGACAAGAGAAGAGAAGGCAAGUCCUUGAAAUUCUCCCUUAAGUUUUGUAAGAACAAAAUCACCAUCAAGAGUAUGCUUUACACAUACCUACCUACUUUGUAAAGAAAGAGCCUUUUAAAAUGCCUACUCUGGCAUUAUUGUAAAAGCCAAUAAAUCACUUUCUAGUUAGGCUAUUGGACACAGCACUUUUUUUCCAUUAAAAAAAGAAAAAGUAGGAGUUAAGGAGUAAGAAAUCGUUCAUUCAUAAAAUCACUUAUUCCCUAAUUUGUAUUGAAUGAUUGCACUGUGUCAGGAAAAGCGCUUUUCUCCAGGGAGGCCAAAGAUACAUCAGAUAUAUUCCCAAUAGGACUUACAACCCAACAUGGAGAGACAAACAUGGUCAGAGAAAGGUGUACAGUCACUUGCAAUUCUCUUUUGUCCCUGCAAAAUAUUUACUUAGCAAAUGACAUAUAUGUUUAAAUGAAAUGAAAGACAUACCAGGAGUAUAAUUGUUUUAAGAAAUACAUUUCAUCAAGGACAUAUGCUGACUGGGAUAUUUUAACUUUUGAAAUGGUGUUAC
Long non-coding RNA from Symphalangus syndactylus (siamang), 2383 nucleotides. RefSeq lists it as uncharacterized. The record is from RefSeq and is a predicted model, not a curated record. NCBI's taxonomy places the organism in Eukaryota, Metazoa, Chordata, Mammalia, Primates, Hylobatidae.